GCUGGGUGCGGUGGCUCAUGCCUGUAAUCCCAGCAACUUGGGAGGCUGAGACAGAAGGAUCACAAGUUCAAGGCCAGCCUCAGCAAAAGUGAGGCACUAAGCAAAUCACUGAGACGCUGUCUCUA
Molecule: small RNA, 125 nt
Filed under: Marmota monax (woodchuck)
Lineage: Eukaryota; Metazoa; Chordata; Mammalia; Rodentia; Sciuridae
Source: RNAcentral